GAUAAUAUGGCUGAAUUUAGGCUAUAGAUUGUAAAUCUAUAUAUGAGAGUUAAUCUCUAUUAUCA
Molecule: transfer RNA, 65 nt
Filed under: Caenis sp. JYZ-2018
Lineage: Eukaryota; Metazoa; Arthropoda; Insecta; Ephemeroptera; Caenidae
Description: tRNA-Tyr
Rfam family: tRNA
About the family: Transfer RNA (tRNA) molecules are approximately 80 nucleotides in length. Their secondary structure includes four short double-helical elements and three loops (D, anti-codon, and T loops).
Source: RNAcentral